This 899-nucleotide long non-coding RNA is filed under the name Numida meleagris (helmeted guineafowl). RNAcentral's name for it is "lncRNA (ENSNMEG00000000626.1)". Lineage: Eukaryota; Metazoa; Chordata; Aves; Galliformes; Numididae. The record is from RNAcentral.
AUGAGGACUGACAUAUUGUUUUGGAAAGGCAUGAAAAUGUGUGGGUAUGAUGCAGCCAUAUGUGAGAGAAGGAAAUGGGACGCAUGUGCAGAUUGCAGAUCUGAGCCUCUGGUUCUCUUUCCAUUCCUACCAGCAAUGCGGCCCAUUUCUCUGAUUUCAGUCUUGGACUGUAAUCUUUGGGAGUGAAAAAACCUCCCCACAAGUUGAAAUAUCUUUCUGAGCACACUGACUGAUUUUUGGCUGAAGCCUGGAGAUCUCACUGUGGAAAAAUCAUGUGGUUGGAUGCUUUUUCUGCUGCCGAGGAAGCACGCUUUCUGAUGGAUUUGUGCAGAACUCUAGCUCUCCUCCAUCUCCCCUCCUCUACACACAGCCCCCAUCACAGCCCUGCUUGUCCGAGUCCAGCGUGCCCUGGGAGGUGCCAGCCUGGCCAGCCACACUGCACAGUAAGCUGAGUUUUUCUCCUCUCAUCGCUCCUGCUUUUCAUGAAGUACACAGAAAUUUGUACGUCUGAGACCUUUAGCCUUCUGUCAAAUUGGCUGAAAUUGUUCAACAGGUUCAAAACACGCUUGAGGGAAAAUAGCAAACUAACAGAUGGCCAGGCAGCACAACAUAUGCCUCUUUUCUUAAAGAACCAGGCAAAGAAUUCACCAUUCUAAUAGACCUUGAGUAGGAAGGCAGUGACAAGAAAACCACAGGUUAGACUGUCAAGAAUUGACUAUUUGAUAUACACUUCUGUCUCUGUGUGGUCUUUCCAGUUCUCUGGGAAGUACCUCCUAUUUGUACAUUUUUGGAACUGCACAUUUUCACUGAGUGUGUCGAACCCAUCCCUUAGCUCUGACAAAUGCCACAUUUUCCCGUGUUGGUCUUAUCAACCUUAUCACACUGGGACUUGUCGCUGG